RNAcentral lists this ribosomal RNA (584 nucleotides) under uncultured Comamonas sp. Its description in RNAcentral is "bacterial SSU rRNA". It matches the Rfam family "Bacterial small subunit ribosomal RNA", at positions 123 to 702 of the family's 1533-position model. Lineage: Bacteria; Pseudomonadati; Pseudomonadota; Betaproteobacteria; Burkholderiales; Comamonadaceae. The record is from RNAcentral.
AACGUGCCUAGUAGUGGGGGAUAACUACUCGAAAGAGUAGCUAAUACCGCAUGAGAUCCAAGGAUGAAAGCAGGGGACCUUCGGGCCUUGCGCUACUAGAGCGGCUGAUGGCAGAUUAGGUAGUUGGUGGGAUAAAAGCUUACCAAGCCGACGAUCUGUAGCUGGUCUGAGAGGACGACCAGCCACACUGGGACUGAGACACGGCCCAGACUCCUACGGGAGGCAGCAGUGGGGAAUUUAGGACAAUGGGCGAAAGCCUGAUCCAGCAAUGCCGCGUGCAGGAUGAAGGCCCUCGGGUUGUAAACUGCUUUUGUACGGAACGAAAAGACUCUCUCUAAUAAAGAGGGUUGAUGACGGUACCGUAAGAAUAAGCACCGGCUAACUACGUGCCAGCAGCCGCGGUAAUACGUAGGGUGCGAGCGUUAAUCGGAAUUACUGGGCGUAAAGCGUGCGCAGGCGGUUAUGUAAGACAGAGGUGAAAUCCCCGGGCUCAACCUGGGAACGGCCUUUGUGACUGCAUGGCUAGAGUGCGGCAGANGGGGAUGGAAUUCCGCGUGUAGCAGUGAAAUGCGUAGAUAUGCGGA